CCUACGGGAGGCAGCAGUAGGGAAUUUUCGGCAAUGGGGGGAACCCUGACCGAGCAACGCCGCGUGAAGGAAGAAGGAAUUCGUUCUGUAAACUUCUGUUAUAAAGGAAGAAAGACGGAUGGAGGAAAUGACAUCCGAGUGACGGUACUUUAUGAGAAAGCCACGGCUAACUACGUGCCAGCAGCCGCGGUAAUACGUAGGUGGCAAGCGUUAUCCGGAAUUAGUGGGCGUAAAGAGGGAGCAGGCGGCAGCAAAGGUCUGUGGUGAAAGACUGAAGCUUAACUUCAGUAAGCCAUAGAAACCGGGCAGCGAGAGUGCAGGAGAGGAUCGUGGAAUUCCAUGUGUAGCGGUGAAAUGCGUAGAUAUAAGGAGGAACACCAGUGGCGAAGGCGACGAUCUGGCCUGCAACUGACGCUGAGGCACGAAAGCGUGGGGAUCGAACAGGAUUAGAUACCCGAGUAGUC
This 464-nucleotide ribosomal RNA is filed under the name uncultured bacterium. RNAcentral describes it as "partial 16S ribosomal RNA". It matches the Rfam family "Bacterial small subunit ribosomal RNA", at positions 338 to 795 of the family's 1533-position model. The record is from RNAcentral.